GACGAACGCUGGCGGCGUGCUUAACACAUGCAAGUCGAACGGUGAAGCGCCUUCCUUUUUGGUGGGUGUGGAUGAGUGGCGAACGGGUGAGUAACACGUGAGUAACCUGCCCCCUUCUUCUGGAUAACCGCAUGAAAGUGUGGCUAAUACGGGAUAUUCUGGGUCUGUCGCAUGAUGGGUCUGGGAAAGAUAUUGUUUCGGUGGGGGAUGGGCUCGCGGCCUAUCAGCUUGUUGGUGGGGUGAUGGCCUACCAAGGCGGUGACGGGUAGCCGGCCUGAGAGGGUGGACGGUCACACUGGGACUGAGACACGGCCCAGACUCCGACGGGAGGCAGCAGUGGGGAAUAUUGCACAAUGGGCGCAAGCCUGAUGCAGCGACGCCGCGUGAGGGAUGGAGGCCGUCGGGUUGUGAACCUCUUUCGCCAGUGAAGCAGGCCUGCCUCGUUUGUGGGUGGGUUGACGGUAGCGGGAUAAGAAGCGCCGGCUAACUACGU
Molecule: ribosomal RNA, 493 nt
Filed under: uncultured bacterium
Lineage: Bacteria
Description: partial 16S ribosomal RNA
Rfam family: Bacterial small subunit ribosomal RNA
Source: RNAcentral